UCCUGGUUAACCCAGGCAGUCUCCCUAGAGUGCCCAACUUAAUGCUGGCAACUAAGGACAGGGGUUGCGCUCGUUGCGAGACUUAACCCAACAUUUCACAACACGAGCUGACGACAGCCAUGCAGCGCCUGUCUCUACAUUCCCCGAAGGGCACUCCAUCAUCUCUGACGGAUUCGUAGGAUUUCAAACCCAGGUAAGGUUCUGCGCGUUGCUUCGAAUUAAACCACAUAAUCCACCGCUUGUGCGGGCCCCCGUCAAUUCCUUUGAGUUUUAGUCUUGCGACCGUACUCCCCAGGCGGAACACUUAAUGCGUUAGCUUCGUCACGGCAGUCGUUAAUUACCACCACAACUAGUGUUCAUCGUUUACGGCGUGGACUAC
Molecule: unclassified non-coding RNA, 379 nt
Filed under: uncultured Bacteriovoracaceae bacterium
Lineage: Bacteria; Pseudomonadati; Bdellovibrionota; Bacteriovoracia; Bacteriovoracales; Bacteriovoracaceae
Description: contains 16S-23S intergenic spacer region
Source: RNAcentral